Molecule: ribosomal RNA, 429 nt
Filed under: uncultured bacterium
Lineage: Bacteria
Description: bacterial SSU rRNA
Rfam family: Bacterial small subunit ribosomal RNA
Source: RNAcentral
UAGGGAAUCUUCGGCAAUGGACGAAAGUCUGACCGAGCAACGCCGCGUGAGUGAAGAAGGUUUUCGGAUUGUAAAACUCUGUUGUUAGGGAAGAACAAGUACCGUUUGAAUAAGGCGGUACCUUGACGGUACCUAACGAGAAAGCCCCGGCUAACUACGUGCCAGCAGCCGCGGUAAUACGUAGGGGGCAAGCGUUGUCCGGAAUUAUUGGGCGUAAAGCGCGCGCAGGCGGUUUCUUAAGUCUGAUGUGAAAGCCCACGGCUCAACCGUGGAGGGUCAUUGGAAACUGGGGAACUUGAGUGUAGGAGAGGAAAGCGGAAUUCCACGUGUAGCGGUGAAAUGCGUAGAGAUGUGGAGGAACACCAGUGGCGAAGGCGGCUUUCUGGCCUAUAACUGACGCUGAGGCGCGAAAGCGUGGGGAGCAAACAG